This 2822-nucleotide ribosomal RNA is filed under the name Burkholderiales bacterium. Its description in RNAcentral is "23S ribosomal RNA". It matches the Rfam family "Bacterial large subunit ribosomal RNA". The record is from RNAcentral. Lineage: Bacteria; Pseudomonadati; Pseudomonadota; Betaproteobacteria; Burkholderiales.
GAGUAGGCACACGGGGGAUGCCUGGGCGUCCAGUGCCGAUGAAGGACGUGGUACACUGCGUUAAGCGCCGGUCAGCCGUGUGCAGGCGUGAUCAGCCGGCGAUGUCCGAAUGGGGAAACCCAGCAGGGUCAACUCCUGCUACUGCUCAUUGUGUGAGCAGAGGGAACCGGGUGAACUGAAACAUCUCAGUAGCCCGAGGAAAAGAAACGAUUCCGCCAGUAGUGGCGAGCGAACGCGGAACAGCCCAAACCAGCGGUCAGGUACCGCUGGGGUUGUAGGCCUCCCGGAAGCUGCUGAAAUCUGAGCCGAAGGCGGUGGGAAACGCGACUGAAAAGGGUGAUAGUCCCGUAGGCGAAGGGGGACAGCGGCGGGGAGCAGCCUGAGUACCACAGCGCACGCUAACGCGGUGGGAAGCAGGGGGGUCCACCCUCCAAGGCUAAAUACACUGGACGACCGAUAGCGCAACAGUACCGUGAGGGAAAGGUGAAAAGAACCCCGGCGAGGGGAGUGAAACAGACUCUGAAACCGUGUGCUGACAGACGGUCAGAGAGGGAGCAAUCCCUUGAUGGCGUGCCUUUUGGAGCAUGAGCCAGCGAGUCAAUCGGUGUGGCUAGCCGAAGGGAGCGACACCCACAGGCGCAGCGAAAGCGAGUCUGAACAGGGCGCGCAGUGGCAUCGAUUGGACACGAAACCAGGUGAGCUAACCAUGACCAGGGUGAAAGUCCGGUGACACGGACGGGAGGCCCGAACCCAUUUGGAUUGCAAACCAUUGGGACGAGUUGUGGUUAGGGGUGAUAUGCCAAACGAACCUGGAGAUAGCUUGUUCUCUCCGAAAUCGCUUUAGGGCGAGCGUUCGGCGAUGACGGCAGGAGGUAGAGCGCUGCUUGGGCUAGGGGGCGUUAGCUUACCGAACCCAGGCAAACUGCGAAUGCCUGCCGGGGAGCCGGGCAGUUGGGCGUCGGGAGAUGAGUUUCGGCGUCGAAAGGGAAACAACCCAGACCCGCGACUAAGGUCCUCAAGUCUCGGCUGAGUGGGAAACGAUGUGCGCGUGUGCAGACAGCCAGGAGGUUGGCUUAGAAGCAGCCACCCUUGAAAGAGUGCGUAACAGCUCACUGGUCGAACGCGCGUGCGCGGAAAAUGGAACGGGGCUGAAGCCGAGCACCGAAGUCAGGGACUGGCUGGACGGAAGUUCAGUCAGUGGUAGGAGAGCGUCGCGCCAGCGGAGAAGGCUCAGGGGCAACCUGAGUUGGAGUGGGCGCGAGUGAGAAUGCUGGCAUGAGUAGCGCAAUUCCAGUGAGAACCUGGAACGCCGAAAGUCGAAGGGUUCCGACGGAAGGUCAGUCCGCGUCGGGUUAGUCGGGCCUAAGCCGCAGCCGGAAGGCGGAAGGCGAUGGACAACCGGUGAACAUUCCGGUACCGCGUGUGGGAGGGAUGACGACAGCCCUGGGAAGGCACAGCCUGUGACUGGAAGCAGGUGGCAAGCGGGUAACGCCCGUGAUGCCGGCGCGCAAGCGCGGAAGUGUGCGGGACCUGGGGACAAGAAAAGGCGUCAUCGCGAUGAAAGCACGUGCCCGUACCCCAAACCGACACAGGUGGACAAGUAGAGAAUACAUAGGCGAACGGGAGAACCCUCGUUAAGGAACUCGGCAAAAAGACCCCGUAACUUCGGGAGAAGGGGUGCCGCCGCGAGGCGGUUGCAGUGAAAAGGCUCUGCCGACUGUUUACCAGAAACACAGGUCUCUGCUAACGCGAAAGCGGAAGUAUAGGGGCUGACGCCUGCCCAGUGCCGGAAGGUUAAGAGGAGGGGUGAUAAGCUCUGAAUUGAAGCCCCGGUGAACGGCGGCCGUAACUAUAACGGUCCUAAGGUAGCGAAAUUCCUUGUCGGGUAAGUUCCGACCCGCACGAAAGGCGUAACGAGUGGAGCACUGUCUCAACGAGGGACCCGGCGAAAUUGAAGUACGUGUGAAGAUGCGCGUGACCCGCAGCUGGACAAAAAGACCCCGUGGAGCUUGACUGUAGCCUGUCAUGGCGUUAGGGGGCAGACUGUGUAGGAUAGCUGGGAGGCAGGGAAGCCGGAGCGCCAGCUUCGGUGGAGCCGACGGUGAAAUACCAGCCUGUCUGUGCCUUGACCCUAACCUGGCGGAAGCUGGGGACAGUGGCAGGUGGGCAGUUUGACUGGGGCGGUCGCCUCCAAAAAGGUAACGGAGGCGUUCAAAGGUGGGCUCAGGCUGAAUGGAAACCAGCCAGAGAGUGCAAAGGCAGAAGCCCGCUUGACUGCGAGGGGAACAGCCCGAGCAGAGACGAAAGUCGGACUUAGUGAUCCUACGGCGCUGAGUGGAAAGGCCGUAGCUUACCGGAUAAAAGCUACCCCGGGGAUAACAGGCUAGUCUUGUCCAAGAGUUCACAUCGACGACAAGGCUCGGCACCUCGAUGUCGGCUCAUCGCAUCCUGGGGCUGGAUCCGGUCCCAAGGGUUGGGCUGUUCGCCCAUUAAAGCGGUACGUGAGCUGGGUUCAGACCGUCGUGAGACAGGUCGGUCUCUAUCCGCUGUGGGCGUCGGGGGUUUGCGAGGAUCUGGCCCUAGUACGAGAGGACCGGGCUGGACGGAGCGCUCGUGUGUCAGUUAUGCCGCCAGGCGUACAGCUGAGUAGCGACCUCCGGAGCGGAGAACCGCUGAAAGCAUCUAAGCGGGAAACCGGCCUCAAGAUGAGACCCCCCACUGAUAAAACAGGUAAGACCGCUCGAAGACGACGAGUUGGAUAGGCGGGCGGUGAAGGGGCAGCAAUGUCUAGAGCCAACCCGUACUAAAGGUCGAGGGUUUUG